UACGGGAGGCAGCAGGGGGAAUAUUGCACAAUGGGCGCAAGCCUGAUGCAGCCAUGCCGCGUGUAUGAAGAAGGCCUUCGGGUUGUAAAGUACUUUCAGCGGGGAGGAAGGCGAUGUGGUUAAUAACCGCGUCGAUUGACGUUACCCGCAGAAGAAGCACCGGCUAACUCCGUGCCAGCAGCCGCGGUAAUACGGAGGGUGCAAGCGUUAAUCGGAAUUACUGGGCGUAAAGCGCACGCAGGCGGUCUGUUAAGUCAGAUGUGAAAUCCCCGGGCUUAACCUGGGAACUGCAUUUUGAAACUGGCAGGCUUGAGUCUCGUAGAGGGGGUAGAAUUCCAGGUGUAGCGGUGAAAUGCGUAGAGAUCUGGAGGAAUACCGGUGGCGAAGGCGGCCCCUGGGACGAAGACUGACGCUCAGGGUGCGAAAGCGUGGGGAGCAAACAGGGAUUAGAUACC
RNAcentral lists this ribosomal RNA (455 nucleotides) under uncultured bacterium. Its description in RNAcentral is "bacterial SSU rRNA". It matches the Rfam family "Bacterial small subunit ribosomal RNA", at positions 340 to 786 of the family's 1533-position model. The record is from RNAcentral.